CUCCUGAUGCUGUAACUGAUGCUCAUCUAUUAAACUACUUAUUGGGAUUUGGGGGCGAAUGGCAUGGGUGGGGGGUGGGGUGGGAGGUGGAAUAUUUUCUCGUGGGUUUGAACCCACCCCCAGUGAAAAAUGGUAAUUUUCCGUCUAUUUUCCGAUUUCAAAACGACCUUGAGAGGUGAACACUGAUACGACUGUGUUUUUUUGUCAUUCAAGUAUUACCCUAUAGUUACAGUAGUCCAUUCAUGCUAGCUGGGAGUAUAUUGGACUUAAGUGUCUUGCUUGGGAAUUAUUAUUGUCAAGUCCGGUCUGCCUAAAUGUCCGUUUUUAUGGAUUUUUGACAAAACGGUGACCUAGAUUUUACAGACUAGAUUCCUAUUGGCCAUAUUAUACCUCGUUGUGUUCCUAUACCACCUAUGCAUGCAUAUAUGAUAAUAGUUUUUACCAACAGUCACUUCCAGUUACGUAGUGGCUAUCAAAAGAUGCCCACCCCCACCUGAUUUUGGCUACUUUUCAUGUUUUUCCGAUUUUGAACUCUUAAACGGCUUUCAAAGUGCCAUAUUUUCAUGAACAGACAUCUUAGAAGAGUUGAUGGACCAUGAACUGCUUGGUUGAAGUCCCUGCUAUCACGAC
RNAcentral lists this long non-coding RNA (630 nucleotides) under Mytilus galloprovincialis (Mediterranean mussel). The record is from RNAcentral. Lineage: Eukaryota; Metazoa; Mollusca; Bivalvia; Mytilida; Mytilidae.